CAGCUGGGUGUCAAUCUUUAAGGUCUUCUGGAGUCUCAGACAAGUGUCCCAUCUGGCCAGCGUCACAAAGAUGAAAGGAUAUUGUUAUUUCAGAGAAAGGCCUUUACUUGACAGGUCACUCCGAGAAGUGCUGGAGACUGCUACAGUAGAUAGGAUUCCCAUGUUGGAAACAUGCUACCAGUCAUCACCUUGGACUCCUCACCCCACAAAUAGGCUGGCUCUGCACAAGUGUUGCUUCCUUAGCCUUUUACGUAUUUGGAUGGUGCAAGAGUUCUGGUCAUUUGAGGUUAGAAUUCCUGGUCAGGUACUGUUUUAACUGAGACAUGAGUUGGACAAAAAGUUUUAAAGGAGUAGCCUAAACAAAUUUGAAAGCAAAGAGCACAUAUGCUAUGAGGCCUGCAUUACAGAUCGCCAAGAUCAAGUAGCUUCAUGUGAGAUCUGAAGGCAUCUAUGAGCUUGUGACCUUUGCAACUGCUUCCCCAGGCUCAGCGGUGCCUCGAGGUGGCAGGUGUGCUCCAUGGUUAAAGAUUCCUUGGCAGCUAACUCUGAAAAUUGCUAACCAUGUGUACAAGAAAAAAUGUUCUGGUGAGUGCUGGUGGAACAUGUGAGGAACAUAGACAAGAAAGAAGAGAUCAACAGUUGAAUAUACUUUUAAAAAAUCUUGAAAUUUUAAGCAUUCCAGCUGGAUUAGAGCCAACUAAUAAUGAACUUCAGUGGAAGGGGUCUGAAAGCUUCCCAGUGAUCACAGGAACAGGCAGAGCAGCAGUUGAUCUGAUGAGGUGAUUAAGAAUCAAGCAUCCAUGACAAAUAGCUCUUCAGAGGAAGUUAGCUUUUGUGGGAGCAACUUUAGCUGACCCUGAGGGGGACUUUGAAGAUACCUGACUUUCAGAGUCUACACAUCUGUGUGUCUCCCUGAAGUCUGCCUUUCAGGAAUGAGGAUGAGGGUUUUGCACAUUCCUCACAGGGAAAAAACAUGCCCUGGCCCUGGUCCUGCAGUAAGUACCACCUUGGCUGACCUCAGAGCUGCACAGUUCCAGGAUUUUCAAGGACACGGUCAUUCUCAUAAAAGGAAGCUAUUAUGCGUCCUUUUAGAGGAGACCAGCAGCUUGACUGUUCUCAAAGUGCAUCAUCUGGCUGGUGGUUGCAGCCUUUAGAUGAUUGAGAAUAAAGAUGCCCACUGUGGAGCUGUUGUCUUAUUCAAGAGCAGGAACCACCAGUGAUACGCUGUGUAGUACAGAUAGAGAAUUUAUUUUUACAACCUUUCCUGCACAGAAUUUGCUGAGAG
This is a long non-coding RNA of Oxyura jamaicensis (ruddy duck), 1285 nucleotides long. RefSeq lists it as uncharacterized. Lineage: Eukaryota; Metazoa; Chordata; Aves; Anseriformes; Anatidae. The transcript has 9 exons. The record is from RefSeq and is a predicted model, not a curated record.